This 273-nucleotide ribosomal RNA is filed under the name uncultured bacterium. RNAcentral's name for it is "partial 16S ribosomal RNA". It matches the Rfam family "Bacterial small subunit ribosomal RNA", at positions 524 to 796 of the family's 1533-position model. The record is from RNAcentral.
GACGGAGGAGGCAAGCGUUAUCCGGAAUUAUUGGGCGUAAAGCGUCCGCAGGCGGUUUUUUAAGUCUGUUGUCAAAGCCCACAGCUCAACUGUGGAUCGGCAAUGGAAACUGGGGAACUUGAGUGUGGUAGGGGUAGAGGGAAUUCCCGGUGUAGCGGUGAAAUGCGUAGAUAUCGGGAAGAACACCAGUGGCGAAGGCGCUCUACUGGGCCACAACUGACGCUGAGGGACGAAAGCUAGGGGAGCGAAAGGGAUUAGAAACCCCCGUAGUCC